GAGGAGGAGGACGAAAGGCCGCCGGCCCCAGCCCGACGUUUUGCCGGUCAGGGUAACAGGUCACACUUCGAGCAGUUCGGAGGUUUCCAAUCGGUGCAAGCGCUGAGACAGGGGUGCUCGGAACAAAGAGCAAUCUUGCCCUCACGCGCACUGUGAGUGGUCUUCGUCCAAGCCAGGCUGUGUCCACAAGCUUCCAGCUGACAUUUGGAAGAAAGAUACGCUCCUUCUGAGCUGAUUUUGGAGAGUUCUACAAAUACGCCUCAUGGCCCCGUUCUCGGACCUCUGACCCCACUCCCACGUGAGGGCCAGGACGGAUCAGCGCAGCCCUGUGUGUGGUUCAUGUCUUCCAAGGUUCACAUCAGCUCCUCCAAGAGCUUCAUACCUCCGUGACGACGAAUGUCACUUGGACAUAAAGGGGGUACAACUAGACAACCUUGCUUCCUUCCAUGGGUACAACUAGACAACUCAUGCCAG
Molecule: long non-coding RNA, 474 nt
Filed under: Lynx canadensis (Canada lynx)
Lineage: Eukaryota; Metazoa; Chordata; Mammalia; Carnivora; Felidae
Description: lncRNA (ENSLCNG00005016519.1)
Source: RNAcentral